RNAcentral lists this ribosomal RNA (768 nucleotides) under Triticum aestivum (bread wheat). Its description in RNAcentral is "partial small subunit ribosomal RNA". The record is from RNAcentral. Lineage: Eukaryota; Viridiplantae; Streptophyta; Magnoliopsida; Poales; Poaceae.
AUGUUGCAUACACUCGGUGUUGUGAAUAUUGCAGGUGGGAAAGGCGGCUUCCUACUCCUCAAGGAGGUUAAGAAGCUUACCCAGCUACGCAAGCUUGGGUUGUCCGGCAUCAGCCGUAAAAACUGGAAGGACUUGUGUUCGGCCAUCUCGGGUCACCUUCCUCAUCUUGAGUCCUUGUCGCUACAACUGCUGCUGCUGGAGGAGGAUGGCAGCUAUGAGUUUGCUUGUUUUGAUGACAUCUCCAUCUCACCCAAGAUCCUAAAGAGCCUCAAGGUAUUUUACACUAGUACUGGAGGUGGUGCAGGCGCAGGUGCCGCAUGCAUAAGGCCAGCAUGGAUCAAUCAGUUUCCCAAUCUCAAAAGGUUUAACCAUGAGGUGAGGAUAUCAAGUCAAGAUGACAUAGAUAACAUUAUCCAUUGCCAUGAACGCCAGAUUCCAGGAUUUGAACGUGGUCUUGCAAUCAAGCCAAUUCAGCGGCAUCUCAGUGUCAGAGGAGCCCUGUUUCUGGACACCCUCGGGAUUUAUUGCAGCAGCAUAAACUCAAUGGUGUCGUUUGAAGAUGGCAGCUCAUUUAUUAAAGCACUCAGCAUUCACUGCUGUAGCUCUUGUGGUGGAUCAUCGUGCUUGCAGAUUGUUGGGCUGCGGGAUUUAGUUGAUCUCGAGCAAGUCUUGGUAAUGGGUCCGUGCAGCGACAGCUUCAAGAAAGACUUGCUUAGGCAACUCAAAAAGCAUGAAGGCAAACCGGUCCUGAGCUUCUAUAACUUGUGA